AUUCACGUCAACCUCCAGGCAUCCUCCGCGGCGGGCCGGACCGGGCCGGCGGAGGGGAGCGGAAGCCCACCGGGGCUGGCCCGCCGCUGACCCGCCGCCUCCGUCUGCCUCCUCCCGGGCUCUGGGCCCAGCGCGCCCAGAUGCCGGGCAGGACCCCUCCGCCCGCUGCUGGAACACCAAUAGCAGCGUUGGAGCCUCUGGGCCGGAGGAACUGGGGCCUCCACCGACACCUGCUUCUUCCCUCACCUCGCAGCCUUCCACACCUGUUGAUCUGACCUCUGCCCCGCUGCCGCCCAGGAGUAACCUAAGGCUUUUGGCCUGAUUCGAGCUCACUCCGUCUAAACCUCUAAAUGCGGUGCGAAAAAAUCCUGGGGAAUGUGCCAUGCAAAGCCUGGGCAUUUCAAGUGCUUUUCUGGAUUCGCAUCAACUCCUCUUUACAGGCAUCUUUAUCCGGAAUUCAGCUCGUCCCAAACCCCACGUGGUGUAGCUCUGCUUGUGUUUUUGAAUCCCGGGGCCUCUUUGAAUCAGAAGCCCUUUGUAUAGAGAUAAGUAUCCUUUAGGCCAGAAUCAGCCUCCAUUUUUUUCGCAGUCCCAUUUCCUACCCGUAAUACUUUCUUCUGAUUUUAAAGCCAUUUGAUAGAGAAGGGACAGGGAACAGAACCUUCGCCCCCCGCCUGAGCAGCUGGUAGACUAGAUAUCUUCCAAACAUUAUCUCAUUUACUUCCCUGGAGUUACAAAUAGGUAGAUUUCAUGUCCGUUGAGGGGUGAGAAAGCUGAAACUUUGAGACUUAAGAAUCCUGGCCGAGGUCAGCCUCCUCCGAAGCUUCAUCUCUUGCCACCACUUUCUGGUGCACACCUAGGACAGAUUUCAAUCCCUGAGAUCCCAGGAUGAAACCUAUGUUUGCCAAAUACCAGCUACUGUGCCAGAAGAGAUCAUGGAACCAGGUGUGGAAAGCUGCUUGAGAAGAGGAGCCAAAACAUCAUAGUUGAACCGUCCUGGAAUAGAAUGCGUAUGAGAGUUCCAGUUCCUCUGCUUCCUCACCAACAGUUG
RNAcentral lists this long non-coding RNA (1051 nucleotides) under Homo sapiens (human). Its description in RNAcentral is "non-protein coding lnc-SLC44A3-1:20". Lineage: Eukaryota; Metazoa; Chordata; Mammalia; Primates; Hominidae. The record is from RNAcentral.